This 613-nucleotide long non-coding RNA is filed under the name Olea europaea subsp. europaea. Lineage: Eukaryota; Viridiplantae; Streptophyta; Magnoliopsida; Lamiales; Oleaceae. The record is from RNAcentral.
CAAUGCUGAAGGAUUGAGAACCAACUUACUUUUUUUUUUUUUGAACGUGGGACACCAGUAAUGCAAUUUUUCCUUUAGAAAAUUCUAUGACAUAUUCCCAUUCUUUUUCUUUUCCUUUUCUGGGGAUGUGAGUUGUAUAGCUUUGCAAUGGAUUUUGAUAUGCAAUGUAUUGUUGACAUUGUAUCUUGCUUGUCAAUGAUUGGCUUCGUAGUCUAACAAAGGUGACUUUAUAAUAUUUGAUAUGUGCAGUAAUAGAUAUGGUGCAAAUCGCAGUAGAAGCCCCAAUAGAAAUUUAGUUUAACAGAAUAUGCUGAUGGAACUUGUUCUAAUUUGGAAGAGUAAGAGGAUGAAGCACCAUUUGUGCUGAAGGCCGUAUGAUCUUUCUAGAUAAAAAAUUGCGUGUUUCAGGCCGUGAACAUGGACUGAUUAUUGAUAAAUUUUAGUCUUCUGACGCUGCAUUUUUUCCUCUGUUGUAUUCUUUGUCCUUGGAACCUAUUUGAAUAGUGCUUUAUCUACUACCGGGGAAUUUAUACUUGUGCUAGUAAAAUUAGGACUUCUUGUUUGACAUUGUUACAUGUGGACAACAAAGCAAGCUUCCAAUUCAAACCCGUUU